GACGAACGCUGGCGGCGUGCCUAACACAUGCAAGUCAAAGGGAAGCAACUUCGGUUGUAAGUACUUGGCGCAAGGGUGAGUAAUGUAUAGGUAAUCUGCCCUUUGGACUGGGAUAACCCCGAGAAAUCGGGGACAAUACCAGAUGACGCAGCGGGACCGCAUGGUACUGUUGUUAAAGAUUUAUCGCCAAAGGAUGAGCCUAUAUCCCAUCAGGUAGUUGGCAGGGUUAAAGCCUACCAAGCCUACGACGGGUAGCUGGUCUGAGAGGACGGUCAGCCACACGGGGACUGAGACACGGCCCCGACUCCUACGGGUGGCAG
Molecule: ribosomal RNA, 320 nt
Filed under: uncultured Chlorobiota bacterium
Lineage: Bacteria; Pseudomonadati; Chlorobiota
Description: bacterial SSU rRNA
Rfam family: Bacterial small subunit ribosomal RNA
Source: RNAcentral